UAGGAUAGAAAUAAUUGAUGAGAAUACGGCAACUGUUGUCGGCGGUUCGAAUUAAUCUGGAGUGCCCCAGCCACUAUCCAUAACUCUCCUAGACCAUGGUAUUUUCUCGUUUGGUUGUGGGUCGGAGCCGAGUGGCAGCUGCGCGGAAACUGUCUUUCACCGAUCGACCAUUCUACUCAAACGGAUACGAAAAGCCACCAGAGGAUUCACUACCUGGCGCAUGCGCCAACGGCCCACUUUCUCGAUCGGAGGCCAAUCGGAGCCGCGCGGAAACGUCUAUCAUCCACCAUUUUAUACUUAUUAAAUAAUUUCGAUUAUUUAGUAAAUAACCGAAAUUAUUUUAUUAUUAGAGAAAGCCACUGACUAAGGCAGAUGGUUUUUUACGCUUUUUCAAUCGGGGAGAUGAUUAAGGGGCGGGGGCCAGUUCCGACCACGCCCCGCACCCACACCCUUGGAGGGGAUCGGACGGUGAAAGACGGGGAUGGUCGGGGCCAGCCCAGCACUUUUCGGGAGAUGCCGGAUCUGGGACGCCAACCGGAGUCCUCCCGCCUGGCAGGCCAACGCGUUACCACUCGGCCAUCCGGGAGACGGGAUGGAAUUUUUGGUCACCAACCUAAUACUCGACUUAAGCGUUAACACACGGGAUAUACACCGACUGUAAGAAGAAUCCAUGGGAUAACGGUACGGGUGCCGGCGAAAACAGGCCGAUAAAAUCGGGCCAGAUUGGUCGCAUGGAAAUGCUUCGGCUUCCCAUCUGGAGGAUCCAGGUUCGAGUCUCGGGUCUCACCCCUCGAAAAUAUUUAUCACGGAAUCCGGUCGAUCCCUCCG
This 828-nucleotide long non-coding RNA is filed under the name Androctonus crassicauda. The record is from RNAcentral. Lineage: Eukaryota; Metazoa; Arthropoda; Arachnida; Scorpiones; Buthidae.